UUGACAGCCCUGGAGACGGAUGUCCUAAUUAUCCUCAGAACUGGUGCACAUGGGUAUUUUCCUUCCAAUGUGACUCAGCCUAAAUCUGGAGAGUCCAAUUCUCAGAUCAGAUGGCAGUUCAGUGUAAGGCCUUCUCAGACUGCAGUCAUU
This 150-nucleotide small RNA is filed under the name Chelonoidis abingdonii (Abingdon island giant tortoise). Its description in RNAcentral is "TUC338 (ENSCABG00000001917.1)". The record is from RNAcentral. Lineage: Eukaryota; Metazoa; Chordata; Testudines; Testudinidae.